GGGGGCGUUCCGGAUUCGACGGAAGCUCUCGCGUUCGAAAGGCACGCCGGGGGUCCACACCACCCGUAAUCGGAGUGGAAAAAGACAACUGCCAAUCAGCAGUUUGCAUACGCUGCCUAAUUAAGGUAGCGCGUCUCCUCCGUCUCCGCCCGCGGGGCGGAGAGGGGCGUCAUCCAGCGGGCUGGCUUGGGACCUGCCGCCUGAGGGUCCCGGGCGAGAUCCGGGCGACCGGAUAAGGCUAGCCGGCGGUUCGUUCUUGCACGUUCCAGAGGGCCGCUGGCGAAAGCAGUAAGCGAACGCGAUAAGCGUGUAGGCUUUCGAGCGCAAGGCUUUUCGGACGGGGGUUCGACUCCCCCCGCCUCCACCA
This 367-nucleotide transfer-messenger RNA is filed under the name Terriglobia. RNAcentral describes it as "g SCRD01 X1 Standard tmRNA". It matches the Rfam family "transfer-messenger RNA". Rfam says of the family: Bacterial tmRNA, also known as 10Sa RNA or SsrA, is named for its dual tRNA and mRNA-like properties. The record is from RNAcentral. RNAcentral also lists the same sequence under 1 other name. Lineage: Bacteria; Pseudomonadati; Acidobacteriota.